CUAAACGUUGCUUCGGCGGGAACAGACGGCCCCGUGAAACGGGCCGCCCCCGCCAGAGGACCCCUAACUCUGUUUCUAUAAUGUUUCUUCUGAGUAAAACAAGCAAAUAAAUUAAAACUUUCAACAACGGAUCUCUUGGCUCUGGCAUCGAUGAAGAACGCAGCGAAAUGCGAUAAGUAAUGUGAAUUGCAGAAUUCAGUGAAUCAUCGAAUCUUUGAACGCACAUUGCGCCCGCCAGUAUUCUGGCGGGCAUGCCUGUUCGAGCGUCAUUACAACCCUCAGGCCCCCGGGCCUGGCGUUGGGGAUCGGCGGAGCCCCCCGUGGGCACACGCCGUCCCCCAAAUACAGUGGCGGUCCCGCCGCAGCUUCCAUCGCGUAGUAGCUAACACCUCGCGACUGGAGAGCGGCGCGGCCACGCCGUAAAACACCCAACUCUUCUGAAGUUGACCUCGAAUCAGGUAGGAAUACCCGCUGAACUUAAGCAUAUCAAUA
RNAcentral lists this ribosomal RNA (492 nucleotides) under Fusarium solani. RNAcentral describes it as "eukaryotic LSU rRNA". The stretch from base 116 to 269 matches the Rfam family "5.8S ribosomal RNA". Lineage: Eukaryota; Fungi; Ascomycota; Sordariomycetes; Hypocreales; Nectriaceae. The record is from RNAcentral.